Molecule: small nucleolar RNA, 214 nt
Organism: Nannospalax galili (Upper Galilee mountains blind mole rat)
Lineage: Eukaryota; Metazoa; Chordata; Mammalia; Rodentia; Spalacidae
Gene: U3
Rfam family: Small nucleolar RNA U3
About the family: Small nucleolar RNAs (snoRNAs) are involved in the processing and modification of rRNA in the nucleolus. There are two main classes of snoRNAs: the box C/D class, and the box H/ACA class.
Source: Ensembl
AAGACUAUACUUUCAGGGAUCAUUUGUGCAGUUCGUCACUGGAGAUGUUUCUCUGACUGUGUAGAGUACCAGAAACCACGAGGAGGAGCCGUAACAUUCUGUCCUGAGCGUGAAGCUGGCUCUUGGUGUUGCUUUGCUGCAACUGCCAUCGGUCAUUGAUGAUGGUUCUUCUCUCCUUUGGGAGAGUAGAGGGAGAGGAUGCGGUCUGAGUGGU